This 490-nucleotide ribosomal RNA is filed under the name uncultured bacterium. Its description in RNAcentral is "partial 16S ribosomal RNA". It matches the Rfam family "Bacterial small subunit ribosomal RNA", at positions 899 to 1397 of the family's 1533-position model. The record is from RNAcentral.
ACUCAAAUGAAUUGACGGGGAGGCACACAACCAGUGGAACAUGUGGUUUAAUUCGAUACGAAACGAGAACCUCACCAAGGCUUGACAUCUUAGUGUAAUCCUGAUGAAAGUUAGGACCUCCGCAAGGACACUAGGACAGGUGCUGCAUGGCUGUCGUCAGUUCGUUCCGUGAGGAGUGCCCUUAAGUGGGACAACGAACGCAACCCCCAUCUAGUGUUAAAAAUGUCACUAGAGACUGCUCCCGCUUUAGCGGGGGAGGAAGGAGGGGCAGACGUCAAGUCAGCAUGGUCCUUAUGCCUUGGGCCACACACAUGUUACAAUGGAUAGUACAAUGGGCCUUGCCAACUCGCAAGAGUGAGCGAAUCCCAUAAAACUAUUCUCAGUUGGGAUUGAGGUCUGAAACCCGACCUCAUGAACUCGGAAUUGGUAGUAAUCGCGGAUCAGCUAUGCCGCGGUGAAUACGUUCUUGCCUCUUGCACACACCGCCCGU